Molecule: ribosomal RNA, 478 nt
Filed under: uncultured bacterium
Lineage: Bacteria
Description: partial 16S ribosomal RNA
Rfam family: Bacterial small subunit ribosomal RNA
Source: RNAcentral
GAUGAACGCUGGCGGCGUGCUUAACACAUGCCAGUCGAACGGGAAACCUUUUAUUGAAGCUUCGGCAGAUUUAGCUGGUUUCUAGUGGCGGACGGGUGAGUAACGCGUGGGUAACCUGCCUUAUACAGGGGGAUAACAACCAGAAAUGGUUGCUAAUACCGCAUAAGCGCACAGGACCGCAUGGUCCGGUGUGAAAAACUCCGGUGGUAUAAGAUGGACCCGCGUUGGAUUAGCUAGUUGGCAGGGUAACGGCCUACCAAGGCGACGAUCCAUAGCCGGCCUGAGAGGGUGAACGGCCACAUUGGGACUGAGACACGGCCCAGACUCCUACGGGAGGCAGCAGUGGGGAAUAUUGCACAAUGGGGGAAACCCUGAUGCAGCGACGCCGCGUGAAGGAAGAAGUAUCUCGGUAUGUAAACUUCUAUCAGCAGGGAAGAUAGUGACGGUACCUGACGAAGAAGCCCCGGCUAACUACGUG